GACGAACGCUGGCGGCGUGCUUAACACAUGCAAGUCGAACGGAAAGGCCCUGCUUUUGUGGGGUGCUCGAGUGGCGAACGGGUGAGUAACACGUGAGUAACCUGCCCUUGACUUUGGGAUAACUUCAGGAAACUGGGGCUAAUAACGGAUAGGAGCUCCUGCUGCAUGGUGGGGGUUGGAAAGUUUCGGCGGUUGGGGAUGGACUCGCGGCUUAUCAGCUUGUUGGUGGGGUAGUGGCUUACCAAGGCUUUGACGGGUAGCCGGCCUGAGAGGGUGACCGGCCACAUUGGGACUGAGAUACCGCCCACACUCCUACGGGCGCUAGCGGUGUGGAAUUUUGCCCUAGCGGCGGCAGCCUGAUGCAGCAACGUCGCGUGUGGUAUGACGGCCUUCGGGUUUUAAACCGCUUUCGCGUGAGACGUUGCUAGAGUGACGGUAAUGGGUAAAGAUGCACCCCCUAUCUUUGUU
Molecule: ribosomal RNA, 468 nt
Filed under: uncultured bacterium
Lineage: Bacteria
Description: partial 16S ribosomal RNA
Rfam family: Bacterial small subunit ribosomal RNA
Source: RNAcentral